GUGCACAUCGUUACAGAAAUUGUAUACCAUCCUGGGGCCAUAUCCUUGUGAUAGAAAAGAAAAUGUCAUCCAGUCUCAUGAUAAUGACUGUCAUAAAUAAGGGAAAUGGAAUGGCAAGGACAAUUAACCCACACUCUUCAUCAUGAGAGGGGCAGAGGGAGAGAGAGGGAAUUUUAAGCAAGCCCCAGAGCUCAGUGACAUACUUGGCCUCACAACCCUCAGAUCGUGACCUGAGCCAAAAUCAAGAGUUGGAUGCUUAACGAACUGAGCCACCCAGUUCAUCUUUCCUGGGUUGGCCUUCUGCCACACUGGCACCUGAAAUGCAGCAAACAAUGCAAUUGGAUGCUGAAGG
Long non-coding RNA from Nyctereutes procyonoides (raccoon dog), 352 nucleotides. RefSeq lists it as uncharacterized. The record is from RefSeq and is a predicted model, not a curated record. Lineage: Eukaryota; Metazoa; Chordata; Mammalia; Carnivora; Canidae. The transcript is spliced from 3 exons.